GCCCCCUUGGCGAAAUUGGUAGACGCAGCGGACUUAAAAUCCGUCGGCCUUCGGGCCUUGCCGGUUCAAGUCCGGCAGGGGGCA
This 84-nucleotide transfer RNA is filed under the name Rhizobiaceae bacterium. RNAcentral's name for it is "tRNA-Leu". It matches the Rfam family "tRNA". From Rfam's summary of the family: Transfer RNA (tRNA) molecules are approximately 80 nucleotides in length. Their secondary structure includes four short double-helical elements and three loops (D, anti-codon, and T loops). Lineage: Bacteria; Pseudomonadati; Pseudomonadota; Alphaproteobacteria; Hyphomicrobiales; Rhizobiaceae. The record is from RNAcentral.